This 370-nucleotide ribosomal RNA is filed under the name uncultured eukaryote. Its description in RNAcentral is "partial 18S ribosomal RNA". It matches the Rfam family "Eukaryotic small subunit ribosomal RNA", at positions 592 to 976 of the family's 1831-position model. The record is from RNAcentral.
CAAUAGCGUAUAUUAAAGUUGUUGCAGUUAAAAAGUUCGUAGUUGGACCUUGGACCUGGACAGGCGGUCCGCCUCACGGCGUGUACUGUCUUGCUGGGUCUUUCCUCUUGGUGAUCUGUUGUUUCGGCAGCAGGGAACCAGGACUUUUACUUUGAAAAAAUUAGAGUGUUCAAAGCAGGCUCGACGCCGGAAUAUAUUAGCAUGGAAUAAUAAAAUAGGACGUGCGGUUCUAUUUUGUUGGUUUUUGGAAUCGCCGUAAUGAUUAAUAGGGACAGUCGGGGGCAUUAGUACUCACAUGCUAGAGGUGAAAUUCUUGGAUUUUGUGAAGACUAACUUCUGCGAAAGCAUUUGCCAAGGAUGUUUUCAUUAA